RNAcentral lists this ribosomal RNA (253 nucleotides) under uncultured bacterium. RNAcentral's name for it is "partial 16S ribosomal RNA". It matches the Rfam family "Bacterial small subunit ribosomal RNA", at positions 524 to 776 of the family's 1533-position model. The record is from RNAcentral.
UACGUAGGGGGCUAGCGUUGGCCGGAAUCAUUGGGCGUAAAGCGCGUGUAGGCGGUCCGGUAAGUCCGCUGUGAAAGUCGAGGGCUCAACCCUCGAAUGCCGGUGGAUACUGUCGGGCUUGAGUACGGGAGAGGCGAGUGGAAUUCCUGGUGUAGCGGUGAAAUGCGCAGAUAUCAGGAGGAACACCGAUUGCGAAGGCAGCUCGCUGGAACGUUACUGACGCUGAGACGCGAAAGCGUGGGUAGCAAACAGG